This 98-nucleotide ribosomal RNA is filed under the name Talaromyces flavus. RNAcentral describes it as "partial 28S ribosomal RNA". Lineage: Eukaryota; Fungi; Ascomycota; Eurotiomycetes; Eurotiales; Trichocomaceae. The record is from RNAcentral.
GGUUGACCUCGGAUCAGGUAGGAGUUACCCGCUGAACUUAAGCAUAUCAAUAAGCGGAGGAACAGCCCAGCGCCGCCCCUCGCGGCGACAUCGCGCCU